AAAUUCCAAUUGUGCGCCCAGCUAAACGUAGACAGCGAGAAAGUAGGGUUGAAAUGCUAUUGAGCCUCCAAAUUUUGUAUAUCAGUGGGCUGACGUCUUAAUUGGUGCGGAAAGCAACAUCACGUAGGUCGUAAUGGCAAGAACUAUGUGGCACUGCGGGGUCAAAGGGCC
Molecule: non-coding RNA, 171 nt
Organism: Clostridium acidisoli DSM 12555
Lineage: Bacteria; Bacillati; Bacillota; Clostridia; Eubacteriales; Clostridiaceae
Source: Rfam